UGGGGAAUAUUGGGGCAAUGGGGCGCAAGCCUGACCCAGCAACGCCGCGUGAGGGAAGAAGGUUUUCGGAUUGUAAACCUCUGUCCUAAGGGAAGAAAGGGAUGACGGUACCUUAGGAGGAAGCCCCGGCUAACUACGUGCCAGCAGCCGCGGUAAUACGUAUGGUGCAAGCGUUAUCCGGAUUUACUGGGUGUAAAGGGAGCGCAGACGGCAUGGCAAGCCAGAUGUGAAAGGUGGGGGCUCAACCCCCAAGCUGCAUUUGGAACUGUCAAGCUAGAGUAUCGGAGAGGUAAGUGGAAUUCCUAGUGUAGCGGUGAAAUGCGUAGAUAUUAGGAGGAACACCAGUGGCGAAGGCAGCUUACUGGACGAUAACUGACGUUGAGGCUCGAAAGCGUGGGGAGCAAACAGGAUUAGAUACCCUGGUAGU
This 427-nucleotide ribosomal RNA is filed under the name uncultured Lachnospiraceae bacterium. RNAcentral describes it as "bacterial SSU rRNA". It matches the Rfam family "Bacterial small subunit ribosomal RNA", at positions 355 to 794 of the family's 1533-position model. The record is from RNAcentral. Lineage: Bacteria; Bacillati; Bacillota; Clostridia; Lachnospirales; Lachnospiraceae.